AAUAAAUAAAGUGCCUGAUAAAAGGGUUAAAUUGUAAAUUUAGUUAUAAGAUUAUUCUUCUUUAUUA
Molecule: transfer RNA, 67 nt
Filed under: Bemisia tabaci
Lineage: Eukaryota; Metazoa; Arthropoda; Insecta; Hemiptera; Aleyrodidae
Description: tRNA-Tyr
Source: RNAcentral